UGGGGAAUAUUGCACAAUGGGCGCAAGCCUGAUGCAGCCAUGCCGCGUGUGUGAAGAAGGCCUUCGGGUUGUAAAGCACUUUCAGCGGGGAGGAAGGCGUUAAGGUUAAUAACCUUGGCGAUUGACGUUACCCGCAGAAGAAGCACCGGCUAACUCCGUGCCAGCAGCCGCGGUAAUACGGAGGGUGCAAGCGUUAAUCGGAAUUACUGGGCGUAAAGCGCACGCAGGCGGUCUGUCAAGUCGGAUGUGAAAUCCCCGAGCUCAACCUGGGAACUGCAUUCGAAACUGGCAGGCUAGAGUCUUGUAGAGGGGGGUAGAAUUCCAGGUGUAGCGAUGAAAUGCGUAGAGAUCUGGAGGAAUACCGGUGGCGAAGGCGGCCCCCUGGACAAAGACUGACGCUCAGGUGCGAAAGCGUGGGGAGCAAACAGG
This 429-nucleotide ribosomal RNA is filed under the name Chloroflexota bacterium. RNAcentral's name for it is "Chloroflexi bacterium partial 16S ribosomal RNA". It matches the Rfam family "Bacterial small subunit ribosomal RNA", at positions 355 to 776 of the family's 1533-position model. The record is from RNAcentral. Lineage: Bacteria; Bacillati; Chloroflexota.